GAGACAGUAGCAGCCAUGGGAGUAUAAGUGAUUUGUCCGUUUUUCAUACUGAUUCCUUCCAAAUUCACACAGGCUACAGGCAUUGCUUUUUACUAGAAAGUAUAAAUGAAUGUGUGCAAAACUCCUGCAGUAGCACUAGGCUCGCACCAUCCAAAUCGGGCUGGUCAUACAAAACCUCCACCAACAUGUCCCGAUUCUAAGUCCCUGAUCGCUGUUUGUUUCCAGUCCUUGUAUCAGAUGUUGAAGUUUUAGAAAAUUCCUUAAGCCAUUCACGCUGUCCACCCAGAGAAUUAACGUGGGUCUCCCGUUAUCCAGCGUCUCUGCUGAAGUUCCCGUUUACUCUGCGCGUUUCAAGGAGUUUCUGCACCGCGCAUUGCUUCAAGUGAUUUGACCAAGAGUUUUAUUCCUUGUUGUGCACGGUACACAGCAGUCAUAAUUAACAAACCCAGCUGUCACUCAGCCCGGAGAGCGUCAAACCCAAAGGCCACGGAGGGUGUCCCUGAAAGCAAGACCACGCCAGGCUGGCGGGAGCCCCAUAAAUAUUAUAGGACGGUGGCGCUGACCCACACUCUUUGACAGAAACAUUAAAGCACGAGGCUUUGACACCCUCCUGAAUUCCCCGUCCCAGAGCGCACCGGGCUCCGGGCCUGGAGCAGGGCUGGAGGCUCCAAGAGGUCUCCUGCCUGUCGCCCUUGCUCUCUGGUCACACAGAACAGAACAGGUGGGGUGGCUCUCUACCUGCGAUGCAGGGCCACAGAGACCACCGCGCUCUUCUUUCUGUAGACCCACGAUUCCUCCGAGCCCAAAUUCCCACCACGUCCGGAAAGGUGCCCUCCUCGCUUUUCGGAUCAUCCACUUCCCCCUGCCCUGAAGACUUGCAGGAACCGCGCAGGGCAAAGGCCUGCUCUGUUGGGGGGCCUGCAGGGCUCCCCGCAAUUCCGUCCCCGAGGCGUGGUACCGCACGGCACCACUAGAUGGCGCCGCAGGCACACAGAGGCGGGCGCCCCGCGCCUCCCAGCGGGCUCCAGCUAGGGCAGAGGCAGCAGAGGACUGCAGGGCCCCGGAACGCUGCAAAGCCCCUCUGCAAACAGCCGUUUUGCACACAGCUGUCCUCGGCACCCGAGCAUUGUUUAAUGUUUCCCUGAGUGUUGUUUCGGGGGGUGGGGAAUAGGCUGGGCUUAAAAUCAGGGAGCAGGAUCUGCUCUGUAACCUACAAGGAGACUUCGCUUUCUGGUACGAAGGGCGAGAAGUGCAGAGUUGCUGGGGGCCGAGUCCGCGGAGAAGUAAGCGCUGCAUUCGGGAGCUUGGCUGAGGUCGGGCACUCCCAGCCCAUCCUGGCAGGGCUGCCACGAAGCCCGUGCCCGACCCACUGUCCACCGUGGUCGCGAAGCGCAGUGGUCUCUGGACGAGGACCUCGCUGGACAGCAGUCUUAUUGUUACUCUCAGCAGAUGUUCUCCUGCCCACUACACAGUCACCAACCCCUCCAUUUCCUGUGUGCUUACCUCCAAGUUUCUACAGAUGUGUCAGGGGAAAUACGACACUUGUGCCUCAUUCCUGCCGUGGUCUGUUAAGUAUGAAAGUUACCCUUCCGGAAAAAUCCAGAGGCCUGGAAGAGCUCUCCUCCUCCUCUACCCCCAGCCCAUCUCUGUCUCUGCAAAAGCAAACACAGCCCUGGGGACAGGAAGUGGUUUCCUCCCACUGGGAGUUGUGGUCUGCAGCUGGUUCAGUGCCUGGGGCAUUUAGUGCUGGCACUGGGCGCCUGUGGGGGGUGGUGAGAGCAGAGUGACCCCCAGGACCCUGCCUCACAGGCAAACCAGCUUUUCCUGUCUUCCUGGCCCUUACUCAGACCACCACAUUGCGGGUCCCUCAUUUCCAGCAGCUCCAAAGAUGGGAGGAAAGAACACAAGGGCUGAGGCCAGUGGAAUUUCCUGCCCAAGUCUGACUUUUCCAUUAUUUCCUGGCUGCCACCCCCUGUCCCUUCCUGAAGGAUGAAGCUGUAUCAGUCCCACUCUCUCUCAAGUAUCUGUCUUCAUCCUUUCCCUCCCUGCUAGCAGGAAGGCAAAUGGAUGGAUGGAUGGAUGGAUGGAUGGAUGGAUGGAUGGAGGCAUGGAUGGGUAUUUCCUCCUUAGGAAAGAUCCCCAAACACAAGUCUUUUGCUGGGACACCUUGCUCAGCCUCUCCUGGCCUGGCUGAGCAGCCUGAUGUCCACCCCCUCCCCACAGCCAAACUGUAGCUAAAUCAGGAGCCCAUCAAGGGUACAACCUUGCACUCAACCAGACUCAUUUUCUUCGUCCACCAAUCAGAGUUCACCCUAGUGAUUUUGUUUUCUGGUCUUUUUUCUGAAACCUGCUCCUUCCCGGGUGCUCUGGGAGCCUCCCCUCCCUUGGUCCCCUGCAGCCCGGAGUCCUCGACCUCUUUGCCCUUUCUUUGUACAAGCUCAGCUCUCCACGUGGCCUGGCACCACCCGAGGGCCUCCCCUCUCUUCUCCUCCUAAAGGCCACUUGCAAGCCAUAGGACCACCCACCCUGCUCCUGGGAACCACUGUGCUCGGGGGUCCCAGGGGCUCCACACUCAGAGUUCAAACUGACCUUGCCAUUGCUACUUCCCACCCAGCCUUGGGAACCCCAACUCAGCAGGGGUGCCCCAUCACCCAUGUCGGUAAGGAUGGGCCCUUCAUAAACAGCCAUCUGGCCCAUUGUGUGGCCUUGUCCCCAGCUGCCCCCACAUGCACCUCCAUGUGAGGUAACAGAAUCCCCUGGAGUUCGCCUGCAGGUAGGUCUGGCUCUGGCUGUGCUGCUAGGGUUUGCUCUGUUUAUACUGGCCUCUUUCAGGCAGCUGGAGACCAUUUCUUCCUCCCUGCACCUCUUUCUGGCUCAGUUGGGCGCCCCCAUAGAUCGCUAGUAACACCAAGGUGUUAGAGGAUGGGGGUUCCUUGGGAUCACGGUCCUGGGGGACCCAGGGUCCACAAUGCUGGGCACAGAGCUUAGCACUAGGGGGCGCUGAGUACCAGCUCGAUCUCACUUGUUUAGGCUGCACUCAAGAGGAUGUGAGGCUGGGGGUGGGGUAGGGGGGGGUGCACAGCCCUGGCACAGCGGCUCAGCACUGAGCAGCCGUGGUCCUCAUUUCCAUGUCCACAAACCUGGACGGUGAUUUCACACGAGUCCGUCCUUGGCAAGCAGUUGCCUAGAGGCCGGCCCUCGGGCGGUAGUAUUUCCACCCUAAUCUGUUUUUGGUAAGGAUCUGUUGAUGGAGCCCAAAGGAGAAAUGGCUUGGCCUUGUGGAGUGGCUGGAGAAGUGAAGAGGUUGGAGAAGAAAGCACAAGAGAGUGGAGGGGUCAUAGUGUGGACCGAGAACAUCCCCUGGAGGUCCCCAGCCCAUGGCCCUGUUGGGGGGGUGGGCCUUUAGGAGGCGGGCCCUCAUGGGAGGAAGUGAGGUCACUGGGGGCGUGGCUUCAAGCGAUACUGAGGCUGUGGACCUUCCCGUCUCUUUCCCCUUUCUCAGCUGCCGCCAGGACGUGAGCAGCCUCCCCUGCCGCACACCCCCACUGUGAUAGAUGGUGCGACACUCUGAGCCGGAGCAAACCUCUGCUGCUUUUCAGUGAUUGUCUCAGAUGUCACAAGAAUGCUAACUAUACUGAAGAAUGAGAGAAAGAAAUGGAAACUGAGUCAAAUAUUGAAACAAAUUAGAAAGAAAUCACUGUGUAGAUCUCUACUAGAAAGUAGGUCAGAGAUAAAGCUGCUGCUCUCAAAAGACUCAGCCUGGUUUUCUCUGAUGAUGACAGUGGAUAGAGACGCCAGUAGUCGGAAAGAGGUCACCUCUGCUGACCAACUCACACAUUCAAAGAUGUAAUGGCACCGCCUGCGGUCUCUGGUGAGCUGAGUGAAUCUCACCUUCCGAUAACUCGGAAGGAAAAUGCUCCUGAGUGGGAAGAAUCAUCUGGUUUUCCUUACAGACCGGAGGCGGAGGUGGAGCCUGAGGAGAUGGCUGUGCUGGGUGCAGGACUCAGGCGUGCAGGGUCCGGUAGGGAAGACUCUAGGGAACCUGCACAGCCUGCCCAGAGAGUCAUGCUCUGCAGUUUCCAGUCCUUCCUUCUCUUCUCGUGGAGAGGCCUCUAUACCCAGGGCCCCUUGGCUGCGGUCCUGAGCUCUUGCUUUCUUGUUGUCCCAUUCCCCAGGAGACCCACACGGCCGUGUCUGAAUGAACGCAGGGCACGGCCUCAUCGGUUCUACACUGAAGGCCUGUUUCUAAUUUCCUAUGGAGAACCAUGUGACUUUCUAAUUCAGGAAAACGUAAACUUCUUACUUUUAACAGACAAGAGUUGUGCAUAUCUGUGGGGUACAGCGCCAUGCUUCUGUCCACGUUUGCAUUACAGAUUCAGCCAAGGUCUUCGUCCUACCUCUCCCUUGCUGAUCUGGACCUUUUCCAUGGUCUGUGUGUCAAAAGUCUGUUUUAGAAUUUUUUUAAAAGUUAUUUUGAAGGUAGUAAAAUACAACAGAACAAGACAGAACAAAGCCAAUUGAGACAAUGCAGUGAAAUUGGUACAGAACUUCACAGCAGGUUACUGGGAUAACAGUAAUAGGUACUGAAAGGGUUUUGGCCCAGACAGGACACUGUAGCCAGAAAAGCCUCAACUGGAAGCAGGAAGCCCCUAUCUCCCCUGCCCCUAGGAAUUUACCUUUGAUGCCAUCUUCCCACCCUUGGGAAUUUACCUAUGGUGCAAAACCUAGGACCAAUGGGCUACCUGUAUAUCCCUAAUGCCUGCCUUAGGUUCUACCCCAAACUGAGGCUACAUACCCCCAUGCCACAUGUCCGCCAGAGAGAUCGCCGGUCGCCAGCAGUGGGGGUGCCAGUCAUCUCUCUCCAUGUUCUCAGAAUAAAGGCCGCUUUUCAUUUUAUACUUCUCAUCUUUUGGAAAUAUUUUUCAUCUUUUGGAAAUAAUCCUAUGAUUUGGUGCCGUGACUCGAUCGGCAGGCGAUUGACUCCUGGGACACACCCAGUUGAGUCCCCUAGCCAAUAACCAGAUAACAUCCUGGAUUAAUUCCGAGCUUUUUCCUCUCCCAAGAUGUCCUUGUUGCCAGCCUCCUGCACUCAGCAUCGGCCAGAUUGAUUUCAGCUCACAAGAGUGAAAUCAGCUGUGGCAGGCAGCUCGAGAAGAAGCUGAUCGCAGGCAUAAGGCAAACACCACUGAAAACGACCCUGGGCCUGUAGCUGUGCGAGACCAAGAACCUGACUGGAACUAUCAGAAUGGACAAGGUUCAAAAAAUUACAUAAGAUGAUUGUCUGAUUGUGGGCCUUAAUAAGAUUGCUUACAAACAUACUAACUACAACAAGUUUUUAGAACAGGUCCAGGAGGCUAAUGAAAACCCGGCUGUGUUUUUAAAUCAGCUUUGGGAAACCUUAAUCAAGUAUACUAAUGUAAACCCAGAUUCUCAUGAAGGGAUGAUUGUUGUUAACUCUUUAUUUUAUUUCACAGCCUGCUCCUGAUAUUCGUGCAAAAUUACAAAAGGUUGAACAUGGCCCUCAAACUUCACAAGGGGAUCUACUUAAAUUAGCCUUCCGUGUCUUCAACAAUAGAGAUAAGGUUUAAAAGGAGGAAAAGCAAGCUCAAAAAUUAAAGUUUGCUAAAUGUCAGUCUGACCUCUUAGCAGUGGCACUGGGAGCUCCCAAGAUAAGAAAUCCACAAGGUGUGGCUGCCCGAGUCCCGCCUGGACCGUGCUUCAAGUGCAGCAAGCAAAGACACUGGGCAAAAGAUUGCCCUAACCCUGGCAUUCCUCCAGGACCCUGUCCAUACUGCAACCUUAGGGCAUUGGAAGAGUGACUAUCCUAGCCGCCAACGAGCGGGUAAGCCAUCCUCUAAUCCCUUGCCCUCACAGGAGACUCCGUCAAUGCCAGAUUCAUCACUGACUGACCUGCUCAGACUUGCUGCAGAAGAUUGACGGGGCUUGGGGCUCACAGCCCCCACUCCGGUAAACUUGUUGGAGCCCCGAGUCUCACUGGAGGUCUCAGGACUACAACCAAGGUGGAGUGGCCCUUAUUUGGUCUACUUGGCUACCCUUACAGCAGUCAAAGUUGCUGGACUCCCAUCCUGGUUUCACAUCACUCAGGCUAAGAGGUGCCCUCCCAGCCCUAAAUCUGAUCAUUCUGAGUGGUCAUCUCAUCUUCUGUCACCUACCCGUCUCCAUCUCACAAAGGCCCACAACCACAGUUAACAGGCUAUGUCAUGUUUUGUUAUCCACUUUGGUUCCUAAUUUCUUACAUUCUAUUAAUGAUCAUUUUUACAGCAGGACUCUUGACAGUCUUUCCUAAAGACUCCCACAUCAUGCAUAAGAUCAUCUUCAUAAUGUUCUAUAUGAUAACAGUCGCAGUUCUUUCCACCCUCAGCUGUCUGGUUAAACGUGACGUCCCUGAAAGCCUAAGCCCUUACCUUCCCUAUACUGGUAUAGCCACCACCUUCCCUGCUCCCCCUGUUUUUUCCAGUUCAACUUCUGGACCGGAGACAAGUUUUAUACACCUACCGUCUUAACUUUUAUGCUUUCACUUGGGAGAGUAAUCACUUCUCAUAAUAUCAUUUCUCCUAACUCACACUUAAUUGUUAGAAUUCUGCCUUACCGUGGAACAUGUCUAAAUCAAAGGCACCUUUCCCUCUACCUCACCUGGGUCCUUAAAUAUGACAGUGCCACAUCUCCUCAUAAUAUCUUGUCUCUUUGUUUUUCCAGUCUAACAUAUGUGUAUUCACCAGUGAAGUUGUCCUGGCCAAAACACCUGGCACCAGCGUCUACCUGGGCAUCAACCUUCAUCUCUUCAACUCCCCUAGGCUCCAGUACAGCACCCUCUGCCAGCAGGAAGUAGUUAAAGAGAGAAAUCUUUGCCCCUUUUUAUAAUAAUAAUAAUCAUAAGACAGGAUAUGAAAGGGUUUUGGCCCAGACAGGACACUGUAGCCAGAAAAGCCUCAACCGGAAGCAGGAAGCCCCUAUCUCCCCCGCCCCUAGGAAUUUACCUUUGACGCCAUCUUCCUGCCCCUGGGAAUAUGGCGCGAAACCUAGGACCAAUGGGCCACGCCACGUGUCCACCAGAGAGAUCGCCGGUCGCCUGUCAUCUCUCUCCGUGUUCUCAGAAUAAAGGCCACUUUUUAUUUUAUA
Cavia porcellus (domestic guinea pig) is the source of this 7140-nucleotide RNA transcript. RefSeq lists it as uncharacterized. Lineage: Eukaryota; Metazoa; Chordata; Mammalia; Rodentia; Caviidae. The record is from RefSeq and is a predicted model, not a curated record. The transcript has 6 exons.